RNAcentral lists this ribosomal RNA (439 nucleotides) under uncultured bacterium. RNAcentral describes it as "bacterial SSU rRNA". It matches the Rfam family "Bacterial small subunit ribosomal RNA", at positions 338 to 774 of the family's 1533-position model. The record is from RNAcentral.
CCUACGGGAGGCAGCAGUGAGGAAUAUUGGUCAAUGGGCGGAAGCCUGAACCAGCCAAGUCGCGUGAGGGAUUAAGGCCCUGCGGGUCGUAAACCUCUUUUGCCGGGGAGCAGUGGUCCGGACGCGUCCGGGCCGGGAGAGUACCCGGAGAAAAAGCAUCGGCUAACUCCGUGCCAGCAGCCGCGGUAAUACGGAGGAUGCGAGCGUUAUCCGGAUUUAUUGGGUUUAAAGGGUGCGUAGGCGGGCAUUUAAGCCGGCGGUCAAAUGUCGGGGCUCAACCCCGGCCUGCCGUCGGAACUGGGUGCCUUGAGUGGGCGAGAAGUAUGCGGAAUGCGUGGUGUAGCGGUGAAAUGCAUAGAUAUCACGCAGAACCCCGAUUGCGAAGGCAGCAUACCGGCGCCCGACUGACGCUGAGGCACGAAAGUGCGGGUAUCGAACA